RNAcentral lists this ribosomal RNA (1491 nucleotides) under uncultured organism. RNAcentral's name for it is "SSU rRNA". It matches the Rfam family "Bacterial small subunit ribosomal RNA". The record is from RNAcentral.
UGGCUCAGGAUGAACGCUGGCGGCGUGCCUAAUACAUGCAAGUCGAACGAGUUCUGAUUAUUGAAAGGUGCUUGCAUCUUGAUUUAAUUUUGAACGAGUGGCGGACGGGUGAGUAACACGUGGGUAACCUGCCCUUAAGUGGGGGAUAACAUUUGGAAACAGAUGCUAAUACCGCAUAAAUCCAAAAACCGCAUGGUUCUUGGCUGAAAGAUGGCGUAAGCUAUCGCUUUUGGAUGGACCCGCGGCGUAUUAGCUAGUUGGUGAGGUAACGGCUCACCAAGGCAAUGAUACGUAGCCGAACUGAGAGGUUGAUCGGCCACAUUGGGACUGAGACACGGCCCAAACUCCUACGGGAGGCAGCAGUAGGGAAUCUUCCACAAUGGACGCAAGUCUGAUGGAGCAACGCCGCGUGAGUGAAGAAGGCUUUCGGGUCGUAAAACUCUGUUGUUGGAGAAGAAUGGUCGGCAGAGUAACUGUUGUCGGCGUGACGGUAUCCAACCAGAAAGCCACGGCUAACUACGUGCCAGCAGCCGCGGUAAUACGUAGGUGGCAAGCGUUAUCCGGAUUUAUUGGGCGUAAAGCGAGCGCAGGCGGUUUUUUAAGUCUGAUGUGAAAGCCCUCGGCUUAACCGAGGAAGUGCAUCGGAAACUGGGAAACUUGAGUGCAGAAGAGGACAGUGGAACUCCAUGUGUAGCGGUGAAAUGCGUAGAUAUAUGGAAGAACACCAGUGGCGAAGGCGGCUGUCUGGUCUGUAACUGACGCUGAGGCUCGAAAGCAUGGGUAGCGAACAGGAUUAGAUACCCUGGUAGUCCAUGCCGUAAACGAUGAAUGCUAGGUGUUGGAGGGUUUCCGCCCUUCAGUGCCGCAGCUAACGCAUUAAGCAUUCCGCCUGGGGAGUACGACCGCAAGGUUGAAACUCAAAGGAAUUGACGGGGGCCCGCACAAGCGGUGGAGCAUGUGGUUUAAUUCGAAGCAACGCGAAGAACCUUACCAGGUCUUGACAUCUUUUGAUCACCUGAGAGAUCAGGUUUCCCCUUCGGGGGCAAAAUGACAGGUGGUGCAUGGUUGUCGUCAGCUCGUGUCGUGAGAUGUUGGGUUAAGUCCCGCAACGAGCGCAACCCUUAUGACUAGUUGCCAGCAUUUAGUUGGGCACUCUAGUAAGACUGCCGGUGACAAACCGGAGGAAGGUGGGGAUGACGUCAAAUCAUCAUGCCCCUUAUGACCUGGGCUACACACGUGCUACAAUGGAUGGUACAACGAGUUGCGAGACCGCGAGGUCAAGCUAAUCUCUUAAAGCCAUUCUCAAUUCGGACUGUAGGCUGCAACUCGCCUACACGAAGUCGGAAUCGCUAGUAAUCGCGGAUCAGCACGCCGCGGUGAAUACGUUCCCGGGCCUUGUACACACCGCCCGUCACACCAUGAGAGUUUGUAACACCCGAAGCCGGUGGCGUAACCCUUUUAGGGAGCGAGCCGUCUAAGGUGAGACAAAUG